RNAcentral lists this ribosomal RNA (24 nucleotides) under Phytophthora megakarya. RNAcentral's name for it is "partial 28S ribosomal RNA". RNAcentral also lists the same sequence under 1 other name. Lineage: Eukaryota; Oomycota; Peronosporomycetes; Peronosporales; Peronosporaceae. The record is from RNAcentral.
UGGACCUGAUAUCAGGCAAGAUUA